Phrynosoma platyrhinos (Desert horned lizard) is the source of this 70-nucleotide non-coding RNA. Lineage: Eukaryota; Metazoa; Chordata; Lepidosauria; Squamata; Phrynosomatidae. The record is from the annotation of a GenBank genome assembly.
ACCAGUGUGGCAUAGUGGUUUGUGUUAGAUUAGGACUCUGGAGACUAGAGUUCAAAUCCCACCUCAGCCA